UGCCUAUGUUAUCUGAAAAACAACCAAAGGGAGCGAAACACAAUCUCUUUGGGUCACCCUGGUUGCAUUGUCAUACGAGAAUUCUAAGCAUCAAUGGCACACCUUCUGUCGCUCCAUGUAUUUCUUUCUUCACAUACACGGGAAACUUCUUCCAAGCCGUCGAAACUUUCCAAGAGAACUAGCAAGUUUAACACAUCCAUUUCAACAGCUAAAAAAGUUCUUCUCAGUCCCUCUCACAAAACCCAGAAGCUGAAUUUGGAGGUUUCUCCUCAUAGAGCUGUAUCUGCUGUGAGGCUGAUGAGAAUCCAGUUUGGUGGUGCAUUUGCUGACCUUUUAAAUGAGAAAGGAAAGGGUUCCGGUGAUAAUGAGAUGGGAUAUGUGGAAAGAACUCUUGGUUUUCGUCCCCGUGAUUUAGAUGAUCGAGAUCUUAGAUUGGUUACAGAUAUCGUUGGCGGUACCAUUCGCUGGAGGAGAUAUCUUGAUCAUUUAAUUGGAUAAUUAUGCCAUGAUGAAAGUACGUUUAGAAACAUGGAACCACUUCUGUUACAGUUUCUCCGAAUUGGUUUCUACGAGAUUGUCAAGCUUAAUAUGCCACUAUAUGCUGUUGUAGAUGAGAAUGUAAAACUUGCAAAGGUUGCUCUUCGACCCGGUGCUGGUAGCCUGGUCAAUGGAUUCUCCGGAAGUUAGUUUCAGUUAAGGAAAAUAACUCCCUUCCUCUACCCAAAUUGGAAGGUGACGACCGUGCACAAGCACGCGCUCUUGCUACUCUUUAUUCUCAUCCUGUAGUAAGUCUGUGAAUCUGUGAUUGUAAAGCUCUACU
RNA transcript from Hibiscus syriacus, 820 nucleotides. RefSeq lists it as uncharacterized. Lineage: Eukaryota; Viridiplantae; Streptophyta; Magnoliopsida; Malvales; Malvaceae. The transcript has 7 exons. The record is from RefSeq and is a predicted model, not a curated record.